UACGUAGGGACCAAGCGUUGUUCGGAUUUACUGGGCGUAAAGGGCGCGUAGGCGGCGAAUCAAGUCAGCUGUGAAAUCUCCGAGCUUAACUCGGAACGGUCAGCUGAUACUGUUUUGCUAGAGUGCAGAAAGGGCAACCGGAAUUCUUGGUGUAGCGGUGAAAUGCGUAGAUAUCGUAAGGAAGACCAGUGGCGAAGGCGGGUCUCUGGACAGUUCCUGACGCUGAGGCACGAAGGUCAGGGGAGCAAACGGG
Molecule: ribosomal RNA, 253 nt
Filed under: uncultured bacterium
Lineage: Bacteria
Description: partial 16S ribosomal RNA
Rfam family: Bacterial small subunit ribosomal RNA
Source: RNAcentral